AUCGGAGGUUGCGGUGCGAGCGGCAGUAGGGUGC
RNAcentral lists this ribosomal RNA (34 nucleotides) under Enterocytozoon bieneusi. RNAcentral describes it as "partial large subunit ribosomal RNA". The record is from RNAcentral. Lineage: Eukaryota; Fungi; Microsporidia; Enterocytozoonidae.